AACAACAAGACGGAUAUCUGGGGUCUGGGUUGUGUCCUGUAUGAACUCUGCUGCCUGAGGCAUCCAUUUGAUGGCAGCAGCCUGCGGCA
This is a long non-coding RNA of Nematolebias whitei (Rio pearlfish), 89 nucleotides long. RefSeq lists it as uncharacterized. The record is from RefSeq and is a predicted model, not a curated record. The transcript is spliced from 3 exons. Lineage: Eukaryota; Metazoa; Chordata; Actinopteri; Cyprinodontiformes; Rivulidae.